AUCAGACAUCCGAGUUAACGGGCG
Molecule: non-coding RNA, 24 nt
Filed under: Arabidopsis thaliana (thale cress)
Lineage: Eukaryota; Viridiplantae; Streptophyta; Magnoliopsida; Brassicales; Brassicaceae
Source: RNAcentral